ACCCCCUGUGACUUCUACCAUUUACUGUUGCUUCGGCGGGUCACGGCCCCGGGGAAGGACAGCGGUCGCCGUCAGGCCUCCGCUGCCCGCCCCCGGAAACAGGCGCCCGCCGGGGAACUCAAACUCUUCUGUAUUUCUUUAUCUAAUAUAUACUGUCUGAGUAAAAACUAAAAUGAAUCAAAACUUUCAACAACGGAUCUCUUGGUUCUGGCAUCGAUGAAGAACGCAGCGAAAUGCGAUAAGUAAUGUGAAUUGCAGAAUUCAGUGAAUCAUCGAAUCUUUGAACGCACAUUGCGCCCGCCAGUAUUCUGGCGGGCAUGCCUGUUCGAGCGUCAUUUCAACCCUCAAGUCCCCUGUGGACUC
This 363-nucleotide unclassified non-coding RNA is filed under the name Keithomyces carneus. RNAcentral's name for it is "sequence contains ITS1, 5.8S rRNA gene and ITS2". The stretch from base 182 to 335 matches the Rfam family "5.8S ribosomal RNA". The record is from RNAcentral. Lineage: Eukaryota; Fungi; Ascomycota; Sordariomycetes; Hypocreales; Clavicipitaceae.